RNAcentral lists this long non-coding RNA (1437 nucleotides) under Sus scrofa (pig). RNAcentral describes it as "lncRNA (ENSSSCG00040064128.1)". The record is from RNAcentral. Lineage: Eukaryota; Metazoa; Chordata; Mammalia; Artiodactyla; Suidae.
GUUAGUCUAGUGCUUGUUCUGAGCAUGAAAUGGAGGAACUGCGGAGACUGGAGUUCCUCGGGCCCCAAGUGUGAGGCGGGCGGGGAGCAGGAGUUGUGAGUGGAGGUUUCAGAGAAACCGCAGGCAGAGCAAUCAGAAGGCUGUGAGUGAGAAAGGGCAGAAGGCGCUCUUUUAUCUCAGGUCUGGGCUGUGGGCCAGGAAGGCAGAGACACCACCAGGGAAAUCCAGGGUAGAAUGUGGCCAGGUUGCAGAAAACUCCAGAUGCCGGUGUAAGGAGUUGGCGCUUUACCCUAUGGAGUCAGAGCCUGGAUGUUUUUUUGAGCAGAGGAGGAACACAAGGAAAGCAGCCAGUCAGCGCCUCGCCAGUCCCUGCAGCAUUGGAGCCGGCGCAGGUUUCAUGUCCUCUGUGAUUGCAGCCCUCGGCUCCAGCAUUGGAAGCACAGCAGAAAAUCAGAUUUUUGGUCUGGAUCCAAAACAGAAAUAUGACACCCCAUAUACGGUCAGUGUGUAUGUGUUUCUCUAAAAGAAUCACUUAACCUAAUUUUCUGAGCAUCAACUCCAAAUGCCAUGUAGACCAAGUGGAAAAAAAAAAAAAUUCACCCAAGUACAAAGGGGAGCUCUUGCUCUUCACCUUAAACAGCCCAUGAAGCUUUUUAGCAAUUGACGGGUUCCUCUCCCUCUCGCUGCUCUGUUCUCUAAGCCCGCAGGAAGGAAGAUCUCCUGGAAAAAUGUCCUUGUGGUGUUAGGGCGAGGACGGUGGGGUCAUGGGGAUGUGAGCCUCGGCUGACAACUCAGGAGAAAGGGACACUUGUCGGUGGCCUCUGAGGACCGCUCCCAGGCACUGCUGAAGAUCACAGGGUCUGGGACAGGGUAGGGGUCCAGGCAGCUGCAAACGCCUGCACAUCAUCUGGUGCUGAGGCUCCCGGGAUGCUUCUGCUCCUGCUGUUCUCCCCAUCCUCACACCACUCCACUCAAUUAUCCCAGCAGGGGGCUGGGGGGGCCACCUUGACUCAAAUUUCACCGAGACUAUUCAUGGUGGCGAGGAGAGAGGAAAUUAGGGGGCUGGUGGGAAGGAGGGAGAGAUGCUGGGUUCCCAGACACCUCUCUAAUAUUCACUUUAGUGACUUAUAAAUAAGAACAAUGCAUGUUAAGGGGCAUCUUGUCUCCUCCUCACCCCACCAUGGGACCCAGCCCCCUCUGGGCUGGGACAGGGAAAGGGGAGUGAGGGGGGGCAUGGCCCAGAGGUGUGGGUGCAUCGGAGGGCACCCCCUGUGUAGGGGGUGGUCUGUGGCUGCCCAGUUGGUUGUGGCCCUUGAGCACCUUCCUCUCCAGGGUGGAGGUUGACCAGCUGUCUCUGCGGACUUGGUCUUGGGCCAAGUGAACCCCAUACACGCUGACUCCUAUGAGAGAGGGGAUGAGGUGGGAAGUAAUCUGCGG